RNAcentral lists this ribosomal RNA (500 nucleotides) under Massilia aurea. RNAcentral's name for it is "bacterial SSU rRNA". It matches the Rfam family "Bacterial small subunit ribosomal RNA", at positions 60 to 558 of the family's 1533-position model. Lineage: Bacteria; Pseudomonadati; Pseudomonadota; Betaproteobacteria; Burkholderiales; Oxalobacteraceae. The record is from RNAcentral.
AGUCGACGGCAGCGCGGGGCAACCUGGCGGCGAGUGGCGAACGGGUGAGUAAUAUAUCGGAACGUACCCAAGAGUGGGGGAUAACGUAGCGAAAGUUACGCUAAUACCGCAUACGAUCUAAGGAUGAAAGCAGGGGAUCUUCGGACCUUGUGCUCCUGGAGCGGCCGAUAUCUGAUUAGCUAGUUGGUGAGGUAAAGGCUCACCAAGGCCACGAUCAGUAGCUGGUCUGAGAGGACGACCAGCCACACUGGAACUGAGACACGGUCCAGACUCCUACGGGAGGCAGCAGUGGGGAAUUUUGGACAAUGGGCGAAAGCCUGAUCCAGCAAUGCCGCGUGAGUGAAGAAGGCCUUCGGGUUGUAAAGCUCUUUUGUCAGGGAAGAAACGGUGAGGGCUAAUAUCCUUCGCUAAUGACGGUACCUGAAGAAUAAGCACCGGCUAACUACGUGCCAGCAGCCGCGGUAAUACGUAGGGUGCAAGCGUUAAUCGGAAUUACUGGG